This 270-nucleotide long non-coding RNA is filed under the name Spirodela polyrhiza (greater duckweed). Its description in RNAcentral is "long non-coding RNA (SPOL_LNC000504)". Lineage: Eukaryota; Viridiplantae; Streptophyta; Magnoliopsida; Alismatales; Araceae. The record is from RNAcentral.
UAUAUUCAAGCAUACAGAUCUAAGGGACAUGAUGAAUCUCACACAACUAAUAAAGGAGUGACUAGCAACAUAAUGGUGAGUUUAGAAGACCACGGCACACAAAAGAUAUCAACACACAAGUGGUUGUCUUCUAGAAACUAUUAGAAAAGAGGACCCUGCAAUCAAGUCGAUACAAUUAGUCUAUUGGAGCACCAACACACAAAGGAAGCUAGAUGAGGGUAGAAGAUAACUUCGACUCACAGAGAUAGAACUACAAGCCAAGAAAGCUAG